RNAcentral lists this transfer RNA (72 nucleotides) under Rhodothalassium salexigens DSM 2132. It matches the Rfam family "tRNA". Rfam says of the family: Transfer RNA (tRNA) molecules are approximately 80 nucleotides in length. Their secondary structure includes four short double-helical elements and three loops (D, anti-codon, and T loops). Lineage: Bacteria; Pseudomonadati; Pseudomonadota; Alphaproteobacteria; Rhodothalassiales; Rhodothalassiaceae. The record is from Rfam by way of RNAcentral. RNAcentral also lists the same sequence under 1 other name.
GGGCGCGUAGCUCAGGGGUAGAGCACUGUGUUCACACCGCAGGGGUCAGAGGUUCAAAUCCUCUCGCGCCCA